Molecule: non-coding RNA, 945 nt
Organism: Phalacrocorax carbo (great cormorant)
Lineage: Eukaryota; Metazoa; Chordata; Aves; Suliformes; Phalacrocoracidae
Source: RefSeq, a predicted model, not a curated record
GGGGGGGGGGUGGGGUGUGGAUUUAAAAAAAGGGGUUAAGAAAAAGGCAAAAAAAUUCAAAAAACCCCAAAAGUGCCCAAAAAAAGGUUAAAACCCCCUCAGAAAAAUUAAAUAAGUCGCCGGGGGCCGCCCGGGACAGCGUUCCCCGCGAGAGCGAGGAGCGAAAAUGGCCGCCCCGAAAUUUAUUUUUAAAUCCGAACCCCCCCACACAACCUUCCCCCCCCCCCCCGGCUCAGACAGACAGACAGACACACGCACAGCUCGGAAGGGAAAAUAAAAUAAUAAUUAAAAAAAAAAAACAACAAAAAGAGGAAAAAAAAGGGAGGAGAAAGGGGGGGGUGAAGGAAAAAAAAACGGAAAAAAUUCCCCCCCCCCCCCCCUCACCACCCCCCUUUAAGGAAAAAAAUAAGCCCAAAAUGGCCGGCUGAGGGGGGUUUAGGUCGCCCCCGCUCCCGCACACACCUUCCUGGAGGGUAGAAAAGAUCCCGGCUCGGUGCGUGAGAUGAACAAUAUUUGUGUAUUCCCGGCGCUGGCGGGGGGGGGAACCGAAAGAGGAAGAUUUCUGCAUAAAACAAAGAUGGCUGCGGUGACGGUGACGACCACCAGACCCUCCUUCCCGGGGAUACCGGAGCCACCGCGGUGCGCCGGACGCGGAGCAGCUGGACACAGACACGCACAGCCGGACACGGACAGGCGGACGGGGACAGGCGGACGGGCAUCGAGAACGCCGCGAGCCCUCCGGGGGGGGGGGCGUAAGGUCAGCGUCGGGGACGCGUCCCACGUGACGUGCGGCUGUGCCAGGGGCUGGCAGCCACCCACGGGGACAAACAGCCGGCGCCACGCGCCCGGCGGUUGUCACCUGCCGUCACCCGCUGUGGGUCUGGCGGGAAAACACCCCUGUGGCGGGGGGUACAGCGUCACCGUCACCCCGGGGGGGUGGGGGAC